This 345-nucleotide unclassified non-coding RNA is filed under the name soil metagenome. RNAcentral's name for it is "partial contains 5.8S ribosomal RNA, internal transcribed spacer 2, and large subunit ribosomal RNA". The stretch from base 1 to 120 matches the Rfam family "5.8S ribosomal RNA", at positions 35 to 154 of the family's 154-position model. The record is from RNAcentral.
GAUGAAGAACGUAGCGAAAUGCGAUAAGUAAUGUGAAUUGCAGAAUUCCGUGAAUCAUCGAAUCUUUGAACGCUCAUUGCGCCCUCUGGUACGCCGGGGGGCAUGCCUGUCCGAGCGUCAUUUGCAACCCUCAAGCCCGGCUUGUGUGAUGGGUGCCGUCCCCUACGGGACGCGCCCCGAAGGCAAUGGCGGCGUCGCGGUUAUCCGAUCAGCCAAAGUGUAUGGGGCUUUGUCACUCACUUUACGGCCCGGACCGGCGCCAGUCCGAAUCAAUCUUUUUUCUAAAGUUGACCUCGGAUCAGGUAGGGAUACCCGCUGAACUUAAGCAUAUCAAUAAGCGGAGGA